RNAcentral lists this long non-coding RNA (419 nucleotides) under Rattus norvegicus (Norway rat). RNAcentral's name for it is "long non-coding RNA NONRATT000687". Lineage: Eukaryota; Metazoa; Chordata; Mammalia; Rodentia; Muridae. The record is from RNAcentral.
CAGGAGGAGCAAGGGACUUUGUACAUCUGGACACCUCCCCUGACACCAAUGGCAAAAGCAGUCUGUCUGAUCACCAGAUCUCAUUGCCUUCAUGGAAGGAAGCAGACAUUCCCCACGAUACACUCUGUGGUUCUGUGUGGGGGAAUCGUGGCCCCAGGACCAGCCGUGGGUCAAGAGGCUUGUGAUGGUCAAGGUUGUUCCUACAUGUCUUAAGGAGCUGUUAGAGAUGGCCCGGGAAGGGGGAGCCUCAUCACUGAAAACCGUGGACUUGCACAUCUCCAACAGCCAGCCGAUCUCCCUUACCUCUGACCAGUACAAGGCCUGCCUCCAGGACUUGGUGGAAGACAUGGACUUCCAGGCCACUGGAGAAACCUGAGCCCAGCUCAGCUGCUCCAAUAAAGCAAUUUAUGCCACCAUCA